GAACUGCGAUACGUAAUGUGACUUGCAGAAUCUCGUGAAUCAUCAAAUCUUUGAACGCAAAUGGCGCUCCCGGGCAUUCCUGGGAGCACGCCUGUCUGAGUAUCAUUGUCUUCACCCUCCGCCGCCGCGCCGCGUUCCGCGCGCGCGCGCCCGGCGGGGUAUGGCGGCCACGCAGCUCACCCCGCGCGCCCGCUCAAACACGCCCUUUUUUUAUUGCAUGGGUUGGAGCCACGCCAUCGGCAACCCCCCCGGCCACGCUGUAAGCCUCAUCGCUCCCCGCGGCCGGGCCCGCCGUUUUGGCGGCCGCCCCCAACCCAUGACACACACUCCAUGAUCUCAGAUCAGGCGAGAGGACCCGCUGAACUUAA
This 368-nucleotide unclassified non-coding RNA is filed under the name uncultured fungus. RNAcentral describes it as "sequence contains ITS1". The stretch from base 1 to 105 matches the Rfam family "5.8S ribosomal RNA", at positions 50 to 154 of the family's 154-position model. The record is from RNAcentral. Lineage: Eukaryota; Fungi.